Phascolarctos cinereus (koala) is the source of this 688-nucleotide long non-coding RNA. RefSeq lists it as uncharacterized. The record is from RefSeq and is a predicted model, not a curated record. Lineage: Eukaryota; Metazoa; Chordata; Mammalia; Diprotodontia; Phascolarctidae.
UACUAAUGGCAAUUUGGAGGGUUUUCUCCUCUUAUUUUUUAUUUUAAAUUUUUAGCAUGACUGGUUUUUCACAGAAGAAGGUGCAGAAGAGCCUCUUGAAACAGUUCAGGAGGAAAACACUGUAGAAUCUCAGCCAGUGCCAAACAUAGAUCAUUUACUGACCAACAUUGGAAGGACGGGCGUAUCUCCUGGAGAUGUAUCAGUUAUCCAUGUAAUUGUCAUCACAAGGUAAAGCAGAUCAAUGCUACUGAAUAUGUGGUUGCUGUGAAGGCAGAAAGUGUGACCUUCCAAAAGUUCUUGUUCUAGUACUAAAGGGGGUUUCAGCACUUUGUGACACAGGCAAAUCUAUACUGAUGUUGCACAACAGGCGAAACAGGAGGCGUCUAUCCCGUGGUCAUGUCACUAGUGGACGCUGUGGUGUCCCUGAUGGACAGCUGGACCUGUAGGAAGAAGGAGGACUGUUGCCCACACUGUAGCUACCUUGUCUGCAGAAAUCCCCCAUUCUUGUAAAUGCCAAAAUAGUUGACCUGUGCUGUAAAUUUUCUUUUAAGAGCAUUUUAAACAGAUCGAUGCUACUUUCUUCAAGUUUUUCUGCUGUUUCUUUUAUUUGUGAAAGCAGACCCUGAGGAGAAAUAGCAUGGUAUGAUCUACCAGUUUUUUAAGUCAUAAAGCAUUUAGCCAUGUGUCC